RNAcentral lists this ribosomal RNA (253 nucleotides) under uncultured bacterium. Its description in RNAcentral is "partial 16S ribosomal RNA". It matches the Rfam family "Bacterial small subunit ribosomal RNA", at positions 524 to 776 of the family's 1533-position model. The record is from RNAcentral.
UACGAAGGGGGCUAGCGUUGUUCGGAAUUACUGGGCGUAAAGCGUGCGCAGGCGGUGGCUCAAGCCAGGCGUGAAAUCCCCGGGCUUAACCUGGGAAUGGCGUUUGGGACUGGGUCGCUAGAGUGUGGCAGAGGGAGGUGGAAUUCCACGUGUAGCAGUGAAAUGCGUAGAGAUGUGGAGGAACACCGAUGGCGAAGGCAGCCUCCUGGGCCAGCACUGACGCUCAUGCACGAAAGCGUGGGGAGCAAACAGG